RNAcentral lists this ribosomal RNA (770 nucleotides) under Alteromonas sp. JZ08SW55. RNAcentral's name for it is "bacterial SSU rRNA". It matches the Rfam family "Bacterial small subunit ribosomal RNA", at positions 77 to 847 of the family's 1533-position model. Lineage: Bacteria; Pseudomonadati; Pseudomonadota; Gammaproteobacteria; Alteromonadales; Alteromonadaceae. The record is from RNAcentral. RNAcentral also lists the same sequence under 1 other name.
AGCUUGCUAGAAGAUGACGAGUGGCGGACGGGUGAGUAAUGCUUGGGAACUUGCCUUUGCGAGGGGGAUAACAGUUGGAAACGACUGCUAAUACCGCAUAAUGUCUUCGGACCAAACGGGGCUUCGGCUCCGGCGCAAAGAGAGGCCCAAGUGAGAUUAGCUAGUUGGUAAGGUAACGGCUUACCAAGGCGACGAUCUCUAGCUGUUCUGAGAGGAAGAUCAGCCACACUGGGACUGAGACACGGCCCAGACUCCUACGGGAGGCAGCAGUGGGGAAUAUUGCACAAUGGGGGAAACCCUGAUGCAGCCAUGCCGCGUGUGUGAAGAAGGCCUUCGGGUUGUAAAGCACUUUCAGUUGUGAGGAAAAGUUAGUAGUUAAUACCUGCUAGCCGUGACGUUAACAACAGAAGAAGCACCGGCUAACUCCGUGCCAGCAGCCGCGGUAAUACGGAGGGUGCGAGCGUUAAUCGGAAUUACUGGGCGUAAAGCGCACGCAGGCGGUUUGUUAAGCUAGAUGUGAAAGCCCCGGGCUCAACCUGGGAUGGUCAUUUAGAACUGGCAGACUAGAGUCUUGGAGAGGGGAGUGGAAUUCCAGGUGUAGCGGUGAAAUGCGUAGAUAUCUGGAGGAACAUCAGUGGCGAAGGCGACUCCCUGGCCAAAGACUGACGCUCAUGUGCGAAAGUGUGGGUAGCGAACAGGAUUAGAUACCCUGGUAGUCCACACCGUAAACGCUGUCUACUAGCUGUGUGUGCCUUUAAGGCGUGCGUAGC